AGGACGAACGCUGGCGGCGUGCCUAAUACAUGCAAGUCGAGCGAAUGAAGAGGAGCUUGCUCCUCUGAUUUAGCGGCGGACGGGUGAGUAACACGUGGGCAACCUGCCCUGUAGACUGGGAUAACUUCGGGAAACCGGAGCUAAUACCGGAUAAUCGAUUUCACCUCAUGGUGAAAUGUUGAAAGGCGCAUCUCGCGUCACUACAGGAUGGGCCCGCGGUGCAUUAGCUAGUUGGUGGGGUAACGGCCUACCAAGGCAACGAUGCAUAGCCGACCUGAGAGGGUGAUCGGCCACAUUGGGACUGAGACACGGCCCAAACUCCUACGGGAGGCAGCAGUAGGGAAUCUUCCACAAUGGACGAAAGUCUGAUGGAGCAACGCCCGCGUGAGUGAUGAAGGUUUUCGGAUCGUAAAACUCUGUUGUAAGGGAAGAACAAGUACGUUAGGAAAUGAACGUACCUUGACGGUACCUUAUUAGAAAGCCACGGCUAACUACGUGCCAGCCGCCGC
Molecule: ribosomal RNA, 509 nt
Filed under: uncultured bacterium
Lineage: Bacteria
Description: bacterial SSU rRNA
Rfam family: Bacterial small subunit ribosomal RNA
Source: RNAcentral